This 419-nucleotide ribosomal RNA is filed under the name uncultured bacterium. Its description in RNAcentral is "bacterial SSU rRNA". It matches the Rfam family "Bacterial small subunit ribosomal RNA", at positions 355 to 774 of the family's 1533-position model. The record is from RNAcentral.
UAAGGAAUAUUGCUCAAUGGGAGAAAUCCUGAAGCAGCAACGCCGCGUGGAGGAUGAAGGGUCUAUGACUUGUAAACUCCUGUAAAGAAGGAAAAAAUUCCCAUUAGAUGGGAGAUGAUGGUACUUCUGGAGGAAGCCCCGGCUAACUACGUGCCAGCAGCCGCGGUAAUACGUAGGGGGCGAGCGUUGUCCGGAUUUACUGGGCGUAAAGGGUGAGUAGGCGGUAAUAUGUGUCAGAUGUAAAAGGCUAUGGCUUAACCAUAGUUGGCAUUUGAAACUGUAUUACUUGAGUGCAGGAGAGGUAAGUGGAAUUCCUAGUGUAGCGGUGAAAUGCGUAGAUAUUAGGAGGAACACCAGUGGCGAAGGCGACUUACUGGACUGUAACUGACGCUGAGUCACGAAAGCGUGGGUAGCAAACA